CCUACGGGGGCAGCAGUGGGGAAUAUUGGACAAUGGGCGAAAGCCUGAUCCAGCCAUGCCGCGUGUGUGAAGAAGGCCUUCGGGUUGUAAAGCACUUUCAGUGGGGAAGAAAGCCUUGGGGCUAAUACCCUCGAGGAAGGACAUCACCCACAGAAGAAGCACCGGCUAACUCCGUGCCAGCAGCCGCGGUAAUACGGAGGGUGCGAGCGUUAAUCGGAAUUACUGGGCGUAAAGCGCGCGUAGGCGGUCUGAUAAGCCGGUUGUGAAAGCCCCGGGCUCAACCUGGGAACGGCAUCCGGAACUGUCAGGCUAGAGUGCAGGAGAGGAAGGUAGAAUUCCCGGUGUAGCGGUGAAAUGCGUAGAGAUCGGGAGGAAUACCAGUGGCGAAGGCGGUCUUCUGGACUGACACUGACGCUGAGGUGCGAAAGCGUGGGUAGCAAACAGGAUUAGAUACCCCGGUAGUC
RNAcentral lists this ribosomal RNA (464 nucleotides) under Vreelandella stevensii. Its description in RNAcentral is "partial 16S ribosomal RNA". It matches the Rfam family "Bacterial small subunit ribosomal RNA", at positions 338 to 795 of the family's 1533-position model. The record is from RNAcentral. Lineage: Bacteria; Pseudomonadati; Pseudomonadota; Gammaproteobacteria; Oceanospirillales; Halomonadaceae.